This 528-nucleotide ribosomal RNA is filed under the name uncultured fungus. RNAcentral's name for it is "eukaryotic LSU rRNA". The stretch from base 153 to 306 matches the Rfam family "5.8S ribosomal RNA". The record is from RNAcentral. Lineage: Eukaryota; Fungi.
GUCGUACAGGUUUCCGUAGGUGAACCUGCGGAAGGAUCAUUAUUGAUUGGUCGAAAGACCUUAUCAGAUUCUACCACCUCUGUGAACCGUUGACCUCCGGGUUAAUAAUCAAACAUCAGUGUAACGAACGUAAGAGUAUCUUAAUUAAACAAAACUUUUAACAACGGAUCUCUUGGCUCUCGCAUCGAUGAAGAACGCAGCGAAAUGCGAUAAGUAAUGUGAAUUGCAGAAUUCAGUGAAUCAUCGAAUCUUUGAACGCACCUUGCGCCUUUUGGUAUUCCGAAAGGCAUGCCUGUUUCAGUGUCAUGAAAUCUCAAUCUAAUAUGUUUUCUGAACAUGUUAGCUUGGACUUGGGUGUCUGCCAGCAAUGGCUCACCUCAAAUGACUUAGUGGAACAUCCCACAUCAGUGUUAGACGUAAUAAGUUUCGUCUCUCCUUGUGGUGAUGACUGCUCAAAACCUGCCAUCGCGCACCUUUUGACUUUGACCUGAAAUCAGGUAGGGCUACCCGCUGAACUUAAGCAUAUCA